AGGGGCGUAGUUCAAUGGUAGAAUAGGGGUCUCCAAAACCUCUGAUGGGGGUUCGAUUCCCUCCGCCCCUG
RNAcentral lists this transfer RNA (71 nucleotides) under Candidatus Gottesmanbacteria bacterium. RNAcentral describes it as "tRNA-Trp". It matches the Rfam family "tRNA". Rfam says of the family: Transfer RNA (tRNA) molecules are approximately 80 nucleotides in length. Their secondary structure includes four short double-helical elements and three loops (D, anti-codon, and T loops). Lineage: Bacteria; Candidatus Gottesmaniibacteriota. The record is from RNAcentral.